Molecule: transfer RNA, 37 nt
Filed under: Megapodius eremita
Lineage: Eukaryota; Metazoa; Chordata; Aves; Galliformes; Megapodiidae
Description: partial tRNA-Phe
Source: RNAcentral
GAUGCCAAGACGGUACCUACUCUCCUACCUGGGGACA